RNAcentral lists this ribosomal RNA (497 nucleotides) under uncultured bacterium. Its description in RNAcentral is "partial 16S ribosomal RNA". It matches the Rfam family "Bacterial small subunit ribosomal RNA", at positions 28 to 507 of the family's 1533-position model. The record is from RNAcentral.
GAUGAACGCUGGCGGCGUGCCUAAUACAUGCAAGUCGAGCGAACGGACGAGAAGCUUGCUUCUCUGAUGUUAGCGGCGGACGGGUGAGUAACACGUGGAUAACCUACCUAUAAGACUGGGAUAACUUCGGGAAACCGUAGCUAAUACCGGAUAAUAUUUUGAACCGCAUGGUUCAAAAGUGAAAGACGGUCUUGCUGUCACUUAUAGAUGGAUCCGCGCUGCAUUAGCUAGUUGGUAAGGUAACGGCUUACCAAGGCAACGAUGCAUAGCCGACCUGAGAGGGUGAUCAGCCACACUGGAACUUAGACACGGUCCAGACUCCUACGGGAGGCAGCAGUAGGGAAUCUUCCGCAAUGGGCGAAAGCCUAACGGAGCAACGCCGCGUGAGUGAUGAAGGUCUUCGGAUCGUAAAACUCUGUUAUUAGGGAAGAACAUAUGUGUAAGUAACUGUGCACAUCUUGACGGUACCUAAUCAGAAAGCCACGGCUAACUACGUG